CGGGUCGUAGCUCAAGGGUGGAGCACGGUCAAAGACCGAGGAGCUGGUUCGAAUCCAGCCGACCCGA
Molecule: transfer RNA, 67 nt
Filed under: Streptomyces sp. UH6
Lineage: Bacteria; Bacillati; Actinomycetota; Actinomycetes; Kitasatosporales; Streptomycetaceae
Description: tRNA-Phe
Rfam family: tRNA
About the family: Transfer RNA (tRNA) molecules are approximately 80 nucleotides in length.
Source: RNAcentral